CAGCACCUCAAGUGGUCAGGAUGAUUAUUGGGCCUAAAGCAUCCGUAGCCGGCGCUGUAAGUUUUCGGUUAAAUCUGUACGCUCAACGUACAGGCUGCCGGGAAUACUGCAGCGCUAGGGAGUGGGAGAGGUAGACGGUACUCGGUAGGAAGGGGUAAAAUCCUUUGAUCUAUUGAUGACCACCUGUGGCGAAGGCGGUCUACCAGAACACGUCCGACGGUGAGGGAUGAAAGCUGGGGGAGCGAACCGGAUUAGAGACCCGAGUAGUCC
This 270-nucleotide ribosomal RNA is filed under the name uncultured archaeon. RNAcentral describes it as "partial 16S ribosomal RNA". It matches the Rfam family "Archaeal small subunit ribosomal RNA", at positions 477 to 747 of the family's 1478-position model. The record is from RNAcentral.